This is an RNA transcript of Galleria mellonella (greater wax moth), 2022 nucleotides long. It is a transcript of the gene named zinc finger protein 69 homolog, with no coding region annotated. Lineage: Eukaryota; Metazoa; Arthropoda; Insecta; Lepidoptera; Pyralidae. The record is from RefSeq and is a predicted model, not a curated record. The transcript is spliced from 7 exons.
GUUUCUUAGAAAAAUGUCAUUGCAACAACAAUGUUCCAACUGCCGAGGGCCUGAUCUUAUCUACCAUGCUAUACAUAAUAUUUAAAUAACAAUAAUAACCAAAACUUUUUUUUAUUGUUAAUUGAGUUACUUCGACUUUAAUUAUAUAAAUUUUAUUUGAUAUUGAUAAGUUUCUUAAUUACGAUAUUUUACAGUUUCUUUACAGUUUAAAUUUUUUUUAAAUAUCCUAAACGUAGUUUUUGUAUACAAUAUACGGUAUUUGCGGUUGUAGUUAUACUUUUUUAGGUUCCACUUUUUAUGAUUAGUGAUUAGCAAUCUAUAAAUCCACAAUAAAUGUUUUUCUUGUCUCGAUUGUAUAUCGAGAAUGUUGGAAUAGUACAAGAUGAGAAUAUGCAGACUUUGUCUCAAGCUUAAUAUAAAACCCUAUUGCUUGAGGAAUACCGAAGAGCGACAAUUUCUUCAGGAUAUAUUUAGGCGAAAUGGAUUUGUUGUGGCAAGUAUAAUAUACGUCUUAAUUUUUACUUAAUGGUUCACUAAUGGCAGCAGCGUCUUUCUUAAAAGAACACUUUAGGAGCAAAUGUUAAAGUUAAGGUAUAUAGAUUGGGCCACAAUUGAAAAGCCUAAAAUUAAAAAAACAAUUGGGGCUUAAAAAAUUUUGUUGACUUUUCUGAUGUCCAUAACAGUAAGAUGUAGGUGCAAAGUUUUUGCAUGUAAAUCUUACUGUUAUAAUGACAAAUAAAAUGAAAAAUGACUAUGCAAUAUAUUCUAUAAUUAACAUUUAAGUUUCCUAGCAGAGCACUUGUUAAAUAGAUCUCAAGAAAGAAUUAUUCAAGAAUAUUAAAUUGCGUUUAAAAAUUUACAGAAUUUGAACCCAAAUCAUUAUGCUUGUUUUGAAUGCAUAGCUCUUCUAAAGAAAAGCUAUGAUUUUAUAAAAAUAAUACUAAAGGCACAAGAUAUAUUGAAGAACAUUUGUGGACAGCAUAAAAAGAUUAAUAUUAUUCAUUGCUAUGCAUGCAUUCAUUGACAGCACAGGAGAUGCCUGGUCAAACGAAAGUCACGCGAGUAAAUAUUAACGAGUGCUUGUGUCUGAAAUCGAAACUUCGAUAGGGUUUCGAUCUGGAACAAAGAUAACUUUGUCAUAACAAUCAUCAGAGGGCUCUGAUGAUUGUUAUGACGACAGUGGAAAAAAAAUUAGGAAAAAAACUAAUAAUGAAAUAAGAGGGUAUCCAUUUAAAUGUGAAAAGUGCGACUAUGAGGUUACGUCGGCAAUAAACCAUUGGCAUCACUACUUGAUAGCACAUUCUUAUAAAGAAUAUCCAUAUCAUCAGGAGAAGGAAUUUAUUUGUCAUAUCUGUAGCAUUACUAAAACUGUGAAGAUGAAAUGGUAACCCUGCCUACGCUAUCGGUACACGCUGACGAGGUACCUGUAAGUGAUGAUACGUGAAGAUGAAUCUAGGUCAGUUAGCCCAUCGCAACAAGUUCCACAAGAAUUAACAACGAUGGUUUCCAGGAGGAACCGCGUGGAGAAUAUAACUUACCUCAAAAGCCACAUUGAAACUCACGGCAAAAGAAAUUAUGAGUGUGAUAUUUGUCAUAGGAAGUUUUAUACAAAGUCUCGAAUACAGCAUCAUUUGGUCUUGGUGCAUGGCACUGAAAAGUUAAUAUGUGACUAUUGUUCGAAGAGAUUUUCUUCAAGAAUAGAUAUUAUACGACAUAUAAGGGUUCACACUGGAGAAAAGCCGUUCAAAUGCCACAUUUUUAGCGCUGGUUUCGCUCACAAAGGCAACAUCGGUAUUCACAUUAGGACCAAACAUCAAAACUAUCCAAUUGAGAAUAAAAAGAAAACAAAAAAUAAGACUAUUCAGCGACGCAAUGGUGAAAAACGAAGAGGCAGGAGGAAAAAGUAGAAACAUAAUUCAUCAGAUAAAGUUGUUAAAGGCUGAAGUUAUUAAAUUAGAUAUAUGGUUGCCGACUUUUUUUGUAAUAUUUAUAAUCUAAAAUUAAUAAAUAUUUUUGCUAUAA